RNAcentral lists this long non-coding RNA (320 nucleotides) under Equus caballus (horse). RNAcentral describes it as "lncRNA (ENSECAG00000057634.1)". Lineage: Eukaryota; Metazoa; Chordata; Mammalia; Perissodactyla; Equidae. The record is from RNAcentral.
AAACCAGUUACUUUGCAAGGUUGUCUGAAAAUGAGAACGAGUCCUGGCUUCUGGUCAACAACGGAAAGCCUGGGCACAUUUAGAGAAAUUCUUGCCUGGGCUUAAUGACGAGAGAAGAUGUGCUUCUGCUGAGCAAUUGGUAUUGACUGAAGGACAUUGCGAGGACGACCAUGUCUCCGUUUUCUUGUCGGCUGCCAGAAACCUUCAGGCUAAACCCAAGUGUCCAUUCUCUUCAUGUCUAGACCCAAGAACCUGAGGGGCCCAUAACUCAACCUCUGCCUGUGCUGGUUUCCCCGUCCAUUAAAUAAAGGCAAUAAGAG